UGCGUAGGCGGAUAAAUAAGUCAGUGGUGAAAUCUUCCGGCUCAACCGGGAAACUGCCAUUGAUACUGUUUAUCUUGAGUUCGGUUGAGGUAGGCGGAAUGUGUAAUGUAGCGGUGAAAUGCUUAGAUAUUACACAGAACACCAAUUGCGUAGGCAGCUUACUAGACCGACACUGACGCUGAGGCACGAAAGCGUGGGGAGCGAACAGGAUUAGAUACCCUGGUAGUCC
RNAcentral lists this ribosomal RNA (229 nucleotides) under uncultured bacterium. RNAcentral describes it as "partial 16S ribosomal RNA". It matches the Rfam family "Bacterial small subunit ribosomal RNA", at positions 568 to 796 of the family's 1533-position model. The record is from RNAcentral.